GAUCAUGGCUCAGGACGAACGCUGGCGGCGUGCCUAACACAUGCAAGUCGAACGGAGGAUAAAGAUUUCGGUUUUUAUCUUAGUGGCGCACGGGUGAGUAACACGUGAAUAACCUGACCCAAAGAGGGGGAUAACACCUGGAAACAGGUGCUAAUACCGCAUAAGACCACAAUGUCGCAUGACGAAGGGGUCAAAGAAAAUCGCUUUGGGAGGGGUUCGCGUCCCAUUAGGUAGUAGGCGGGGUAACGGGCCCACCUAGCCGACGA
Molecule: ribosomal RNA, 266 nt
Filed under: uncultured bacterium
Lineage: Bacteria
Description: partial 16S ribosomal RNA
Rfam family: Bacterial small subunit ribosomal RNA
Source: RNAcentral